RNAcentral lists this ribosomal RNA (497 nucleotides) under uncultured bacterium. RNAcentral describes it as "partial 16S ribosomal RNA". It matches the Rfam family "Bacterial small subunit ribosomal RNA", at positions 28 to 507 of the family's 1533-position model. The record is from RNAcentral.
GAUGAACGCUGGCGGCGUGCCUAAUACAUGCCAGUCGAGCGAACAGACGAGGAGCUUGCUCCUCUGACGUUAGCGGCGGACGGGUAAGUAACACGUGGAUAACCUACCUAUAAGACUGGGAUAACUUCGGGAAACCGGAGCUAAUACCGGAUAAUAUAUUGAACCGCAUGGUUCAAUAGUGAAAGACGGUUUUGCUGUCACUUAUAGAUGGAUCCGCGCCGCAUUAGCUAGUUGGUAAGGUAACGGCUUACCAAGGCAACGAUGCGUAGCCGACCUGAGAGGGUGAUCGGCCACACUGGAACUGAGACACGGUCCAGACUCCUACGGGAGGCAGCAGUAGGGAAUCUUCCGCAAUGGGCGAAAGCCUGACGGAGCAACGCCGCGUGAGUGAUGAAGGUCUUCGGAUCGUAAAACUCUGUUAUUAGGGAAGAACAAAUGUGUAAGUAACUAUGCACGUCUUGACGGUACCUAAUCAGAAAGCCACGGCUAACUACGUG